Molecule: non-coding RNA, 1228 nt
Organism: Paramuricea clavata
Lineage: Eukaryota; Metazoa; Cnidaria; Anthozoa; Malacalcyonacea; Plexauridae
Source: the annotation of a GenBank genome assembly
CUAGAUCGUUGGAAAUGGCAUUUUCAGAGUCUUCUAUACCUUAUACACACAACUUUUGGUAGCUUUUAUUUAGAUAUACAAAACCAUAUUGUUGAAUACCCACAAGUACGAGGUUGCAUGAAGUGAUGUUUUGAUGAUCUAUUUUUGGCUUAAUGGCGGGAAUUUUUUAAGAAGAAAAAAGUUUUAUGUUAAAUUUGACGCAAAUGAAGUCACUCUUAAUAGUUAAAAUGUGCAACAAAGCCAACAUAUCUAAGAACCCGUGAGAUAUUAACAAGCUGUGAGCUCACUGUGAGGUUAUAGUAAAAUAUGUGAUGCUCAUGGUGGAUCUGUGAGAGUUGGCAACUACGCCCUAGUAUAUUUAUAUAUUCUUUACCAUUUAUUGAGUCAACAGCUGUUCCAAUCAGUACAUGUUUAUGUUGAAAUCAGUUUAAUAAAUGGUGUUGUAUUGGAGUUUACUACAGUAAUAAUGUUCUAUACUGCUCUCUAUUUUUUAUCUGUAGGUUUUAUGGUACGACGAGGUCAUGCGGGGCAGAUAUUUAUAUUGCACAAAAUUCCCCCCUUUUUUCAUGCACAAAAAUAUCUGCCCCCCCUCUUUUUCCACCAGCCCCCCUCCCCUGUAAUUAAUGACCGGUCCCUUAAUUUUUAAUAGAAGGGACGAUCAAUAGAUGGUCAGUUAGUUACGUUUUUAUUUUGUCAAAUUUCACAUCAAGUUUUGGUUCAGGUACACCCUGACCAUUAUCGCAAUGUGUGAAAAUAUUAUAAGCUAUACCGUCUAUUUUUGGCAUUCUCAAUUAAACGCUAAUUGAGGUUCUCACUGUAAACUGAGUGUCUGCUCUUGUACUUUGUACUCCUUCACUUAAAUCAGGCAUUAAAAUAGCGUGUCCUUGUACACACUUUGUGUCCUUGUAAAAGGCGAAUGUGCCCUUGUAAAUUGAAAAGUGUGUACUUGAAAAUAUAUUAAACUGAAAACAUAUUAAUGUAAUCCACGCAAAAUGGCCAAAGAUUUUGCAAAUUCUUUUCUCAGAACUCUGGAAAUGCCAUUUCAGAGACCCCCUUAAAAGUUCGCGUCUCCGACGCUAAACUUGUGGCUUCGCCACUCGUUCUCGUGAGUCUGCACAUUUAUACCAAAAAUACGCCUCUGAAGGCAAAGUGUGUCCUUGUAAAAAUUCCGUAUUUUAAUGCCUGACUUUAAAUAGAGAUAUUCGAACACUGUAGAAGCACCCGAAAC